CUCAUCGCUCUCAUCGUAAGAGUCAUCGAGGUCAUAGUAGUACCCUGAUGGCAGAAAUGGGUGCACUGAGCCAGGCUCAGAACCCAGGAUGCUCCAUGGACACGUGCACCUGGGGGCAUGGGAGUGAGGCCACUGGGCUGGGCCUGCUGGCACCUGUGAGGACCCUUGCUAAGAGGGCCUGGUUUCUUCCCAUCUGCGUGGACACCUGCAGUGAGCCGAGGGCGGCAAGACUCAGGCAAGACUCAAACUCGGGAUGCUCCCUAGGCGCAGGGCAGAGCAUUCCUGACAAAGGCCUGAUGUCCAUUGCUUGGUAAGCCUCAUGGGAAGGCAGCUGAACACUACAGAGCCCCCAUUCCUUUUCAAGGUGACUUGAAAAGCCCCAGGCAGACCCUAAAGCUAGCAUGACCAGCACCCCAGAAGCAGAACUAAGAGGAGCUGGGUGCGAUACCAGACAGGCCAUAUCAAUUCCUGGAGCUAAGACCGGCCUGGGGCAGUCACCCUCAGCAGCAGGUGUGUGCAUCUGCGUCUACAGCCCCUACUGGCUCUCCUGACCUUAGGACCUUAGGGAGCUGUCUCCUGCACUUUGGGGGGCAGAGACAGGAAGGAGAUGCCGAACUCCAGGCUUGGUCAGGGCAGAACCAGCUGCUGUCCCUUAUCCCCUGGUGCACGUGUGCCCUACUGUCACUAGCCCGUGUGUGUAACCCUGCUGGUUUGUUCCUCUGUUAACGUCACACUAUCACUAUUUAAAGACCA
Molecule: long non-coding RNA, 753 nt
Filed under: Rattus norvegicus (Norway rat)
Lineage: Eukaryota; Metazoa; Chordata; Mammalia; Rodentia; Muridae
Description: long non-coding RNA NONRATT014780
Source: RNAcentral